This 600-nucleotide ribosomal RNA is filed under the name uncultured archaeon. RNAcentral's name for it is "bacterial SSU rRNA". It matches the Rfam family "Archaeal small subunit ribosomal RNA", at positions 83 to 687 of the family's 1478-position model. The record is from RNAcentral.
GACGGCUCAGUAACACGUAGCUAACCUACCCUCGGGUGGGGGAUAACCUCGGGAAACUGAGGAUAAUACCCCAUAGGAGAAGAGGUCUGGAAUGAUCCUUCUCUGAAAACAUAUGUGCCCGAGGAUGGGGCUGCGUCUGAUUAGGUAGUAGGUGGGGUAACGGCCCACCAAGCCUACGAUCAGUACGGGCCUUGAGAGAGGCAGCCCGGAGAUGGGGACUGAGACACGGCCCCAGGCCCUACGGGGCGCAGCAGGCACGAAACCUCCGCAAUGCACGAAAGUGCGACGGGGGGACCCCAAGUGCUUACGCACUGCGUAGGCUUUUCUAAAGUGUAAAAAGCUUUAGGAAUAAGGGCUGGGCAAGUCCGGUGCCAGCAGCCGCGGUAACACCGGCGGCCCGAGUGGUGACCACUUUUAUUGGGCCUAAAGCGUCCGUAGCCGGUCCAGUAAGUCCCUGUUUAAAUCCUACGGCUUAACCGUAGGGCUGGCAGGGAUACUGCUGGACUUGGGACCGGGAGAGGGCGAGGGUACUUCAGGGGUAGCGGUGAAAUGUGUUGAUCCCUGGAGGACCACCUAUGGCGAAGGCACUCGCCUGGAACG